This 252-nucleotide ribosomal RNA is filed under the name uncultured bacterium. RNAcentral describes it as "partial 16S ribosomal RNA". It matches the Rfam family "Bacterial small subunit ribosomal RNA", at positions 524 to 776 of the family's 1533-position model. The record is from RNAcentral.
UACGGGGGGGCAAGCGUUGUUCGGAAUUACUGGGCGUAAAGGGCUCGUAGGCGGCCAACUAAGUCGGAUGUGAAAUCCCCAGGCUUAACCUGGGAACUGCAUCCGAUACUGGAUGGCUUGAAUCCGGGGGAGGGAUGCGGAAUUCCAGGUGUAGCGGUGAAAUGCGUAGAUAUCUGGAGGAACACCGGUGGCGAAGGCGGCAGCCUGGACCGGCAUUGACGCUGAGGAGCGAAAGCCAGGGGAGCAAACGGG